This is a non-coding RNA of Canis lupus familiaris (dog), 346 nucleotides long. The record is from Rfam. Lineage: Eukaryota; Metazoa; Chordata; Mammalia; Carnivora; Canidae.
GGAUGUGAGGGUGAUCUGGCUGCGACAUCUGUCACCCCAUUGAUCGCCAGGGUUGAUUCGGCUGAUCUGGCUGGCUAGGCGGGUGUCCCCUUCCUCCCUCACCGCUCCAUGUGCCUCCCUCCCGAAGCUGCACGCUCGCGCUCGGUCGAAGAGGAUGAAGAGGACGACCAUCCCCGAUAGAGGAGGACCGUUCUUCGGUCAAGGGUAAACGAGUAGCUGCGCUCCCCUGCUAGAACCUCCAAACAAGCUCUCAGGGUCCAUUUGUAGGAGAACGUAGGGUAGUCAAGCUUCCGAGACUCCAGACACAUCCAAAUGAGGCGCUGCACGUGGCAGUCUGCCAAGAAAG